CAUAUAAUUCAAAAGAAGAUGGACAAAUGAGAACCUUUCUGUCAUAAACUCUAGUAAAACUGCUUGUCAAAAGCUGUGAACAGAUUGCAUACAGGAAUAGAAAAAAGAGCACUCUUAAAUUAUCAGCUGUUAGUCAGUGCCCGCUCUCAUUUUUCCUGGCCAUUGCGCUUUUGCUGUGUGCUGUGUAAAUGCAGAUGAUCGGAUACGAGUCACUUUUAAAAGAUGGUGUAAGCAGGUCAUCAAAGAAAUCGGACACAGUCACAAAAUCGAAAUUGACCAUUAAGAUCUGCAUUGUAAAUGCAGCCAAAGAGUCAGUCGCUCGGACUAAACGAUCCGGUAGCAACGCGUUAACGUGUUUGUAGCAUACGUUUUGGCCCCAACAGCCUUCCAUAGUUCCACGUGUUUGAGGCACUGCCGUUGAAUUAUAUUUUUUUGGUGCUACUGAACCGAGCAUGAUACGACUGAGAACAUGAAACUGCUUCUUGGUUCCCUGUCCGUUGUCUUGAAUCAAUUUCGGUUUAAUUGUACAUGAAAAGAUGUUUACGAACCACCCAAAAGACUAUCUAACGUAAACAAACACAUCAGUACUCGAGCUCACAACAGAGUCAACGUUAUGUUCCCAUGUGAAAGCAGGAGAGGCAUUGAUAAAAGAUGCAUUAAACAUCUAAGUAAAAAACAAAACAAGACAAUGAGCUUUUCCCAGGAUCAUUGAGGCAACUUCAGCUAUAGAUAACAUUUGCCAUUCAUGGGAGUAGAGGAAUGAGAGGCGAUGGGACUUAGGAAACAAAGAGGAUUGUAUGGCUGGACUGUGAAUGGAGGAGAAACGCAUGCAUGGAGCAGCAAUGGAGGAGAGACUACAGUGUAAGGUGUGUGACAUUGACCUCUGGGCUUUUGAACCUGUGACCUGCCACAAUCCCGAAGCUCAUUCAAUAGCACUAAGUGAUCAGCACCUCCAAGACAAAGACUCCAGCUGCCUGGUGUUGAAAUAUGCAUUAGGCUCCCUCAAUCUCAUCCCGGCCCGGUGUUGACAUUCUCUGCCUGGUAUUGUUAAAGAAGACCCAGCCGCUCAUAUGUGACGAAGUGUAGCGCUGUCUGGGAGAAGUUCAGGAGAGGGAAGCUGUAAACAGAUCUCCAUGGGCUCCUCUGUGACCCCCGGCUCCUCACAGUGCGUUUGUUCUGGCACUUUACAAUGCUCUGGGUUUAUGGGGCCUGUGACCUGUGGACGUCCACAAGAUAAAUCCACACAGACUCUCUGGUGGCCGACCACACUAGUGUUAUUAGCGCUGGUAAUAUUUUACAGUGCUAUUUGUUAAUGCAUUGGUUACACUUUACAUUAUUAAGGUUUUAUUUGUUCACAUAUUUUUUUUACUAACAUGA
Non-coding RNA from Danio rerio (zebrafish), 1377 nucleotides. Lineage: Eukaryota; Metazoa; Chordata; Actinopteri; Cypriniformes; Danionidae. The record is from RefSeq and is a predicted model, not a curated record.